Molecule: long non-coding RNA, 994 nt
Filed under: Meleagris gallopavo (turkey)
Lineage: Eukaryota; Metazoa; Chordata; Aves; Galliformes; Phasianidae
Description: lncRNA (ENSMGAG00000022241.1)
Source: RNAcentral
CCGUUACCGCGCCGCCCCUCAGCGCCUCUUAUUUUUUUCCUGUGAAAAAUAAACAUUUUGGAUCGUUGUCCGGCGAUGUUUUCUUCGCCUCAGCCACCGCACAGCGCCCGGAGAGUGUCGGGGACAUCAAGCUACCGUCUGUGCCUGGUAGAAACCUCUUCCAUGGGUGCAGUAAUUCUGGAGAGCUGCUGCUGUUCGAUGGAGGAUUCUUGCAGCAUCAUCCAGAGCCCGACCUUUACCCUCAGUUCUCCAGCGUGGUGUGAAGAUCUAGGAGCAGCCUGGACUGGGGCCGAAACCUCUGUUUUGCAUCCAGUAACCAGUCUGGCUUUUGGUCUUGCCCUGCAUCAACCAGCUUUUUAACUUCACUUCUUCUCAUAAUUAGUGAUUAAUUUUUUGUUCUGCCAGUACCCAGAUGAGUGUGAUUCUCUAAUCUCCAUGAAACAGCAGUAACAACUACCUGGAGAAUGGCAUGGAAGAACACACUUAGGCCUUUCAGUGCCUUUUCCUUGCUGUUCAGCACCAAACUGCAGCAGAUCUUACAGCCAAAAUAGUUAAGGGAGAGACAGAGAAGAGACACUAAAGAAAGAAGAAAUGCUAUAGGAACUCUUUUGGCAGGAAGACUUUUCUCUGCCGUCUCCACAUUCUGCCCUAAGCUUAUUUUUAAAUACAAGGCAAUUUCCCCUUGGUUGGGCUAGCUGUCUGCACACAAUUACACUUCUCUAUUAUUAGUGAGAGUGAACAGUGCUGAGUUUACAACUGUGCAGAAGAGAUAAGCUCAAGAUGACUGUGGUUCCUCUCUAAGGGGCUGUCGAGCUGUGUUCAGCUCUGCAUCUGGGACACUGCUGUCCUGAAACGGGGAGGAAUCCUUCUCCUCUGAACAGGGGAUGCCCAAAAAGAGCAGGCUGGGUGAGUUUCUACUAAUGGAAGAUUAGACAGAGAAUCUCUCACAUGAUUUUACCCUCUUCAUCAAGGACACUGGAGUCACUGGAGUUUC